Molecule: transfer RNA, 75 nt
Filed under: Hyphomicrobiales bacterium
Lineage: Bacteria; Pseudomonadati; Pseudomonadota; Alphaproteobacteria; Hyphomicrobiales
Description: Rhizobiales bacterium (seawater metagenome) tRNA-Glu
Rfam family: tRNA
About the family: Transfer RNA (tRNA) molecules are approximately 80 nucleotides in length.
Source: RNAcentral
GCGCCCUUCGUCUAUCGGUUAGGACGUCAGGUUUUCAACCUGAAAAGAGGGGUUCAACUCCCCUAGGGCGUACCA